CUUUAUUACAAAACACUGGUGAUUUCUUCUUAACAAUAAAAUGCUUAACAAUCAGUAAUAUUAAAAUAAUUCUUUUGGCAACCAUGGAGCAAGCAGAUAACUUCUGAGGAAACUGAGAUGUUUGUGUGCUGGUUUCAAUUCCCAGUGAUAGCAAUUUGUUUCACUUCAUUGAUGUCUGUAAGUACUGCAUGAACAUCAUAUUGUAUCUCUUUUAUCUAUUUUCUUCCUCUUUCCUAAAAGAUGUUAGGUUCGUGUCUUAGGGAAGACAUGAUAAGCUAUUUCAGUCUAGUCUGUUGGAGGUGGUACCAGAUAAAAAGUACUCAGUACACUCUUUAAAGUAACUGGCAUUAGGAAGGGCAUCCAGCCAUAGAAACCAUGCCAGGACAGACAAUGGAGCCUGGUGCAGCCCCUGGCCUAGCCAGUUCCUGUGAAACUGUCCAUCCUAUGCCAGCAUGGAAAAUAGACGUUAAAUGGUGGUGGUGGUGGUGGUGGUGGUAGUGGUGGCGGCGGCGGUGGUGGUAACAGUGGCGGUGGUGACAGUGGUGGUGGUAUUGGUGAUGAUAUGAACUGUCAUCACAGAGAUAAAUACACUAAGGCAAGAGUUACAGGAAACUAUGAAAGGAAACCUCACAAACGUAAUACUUAGAACCAAUUGCUACACUUUUUCAUAUUUGGCAAUACUACAAUACAGGACUUACUCCACUAUCUUUAUGAGAGUGUCUUUCUGAGCUAUACUUAUGGCUAUAAUUAAGCUCAGGACUUCACUUUUGCCACUGUCCUACAAAGGGAAAUACAAACAUCAAAAUAUCUCAUUCUACUCCUCUCCAUUGUCAAUCUGAAAAUGAUUAACAUCUAUUUAAAAAGUCAAUAUAUUUUAUUAGCCAUAGACAAGAAUUAGAAACCCAAGUAUAUAAAAACUACCCAGUGGGUAAAUUACUAGUUCGAUUCCUGGUCAUAGAAAUCUUUUGUUUCGUACCACUUAAGUUUAGUGGAAAGAUAUGGUUAUCCCAUUUUUCUAUUGUCUAAAAAUUCAAAGGUCUUGCAACUGAUUAAAGCAAAAAAAAAAAAUCUUUUGAUAAAUUGCUUUCAUUAUUUUGAUUCUGAAAUAUAGUUAUUUCUUUUCAUUGGAAUGAUGAAAAUCCUUGAGAAAGUGUCAGCUUCACAAUGUUCCAUCCUCUUCAUAUACAAGACUGUGGCUUUAUGCCUUUUAAGAAAUCAAUAUACUUAGACAAGAGAAACUAGAGACAAGUAAAUUAUGUACCUGUAAUCAAUAAUUUCUAGACAAUUAAUGGCAUCUUACAUAGUUUUUUGUGUUUAACCCUAAAUUUCCAUUAGAUCAAUCUCUGUUUUUGAGAUAUCAUUGGGAUUUAACUCAAUUUUCAAUAAACCUUGCUUAUAGUCAAAAUACAUCUUUAAUGUUGUUCUUCAGGCAAACAAAUGUUAUAAAGCAAAGAGACAAGCUUCUGGCAAUCUGAACUAGUGAUUCAGUUUCAAUUCCUAUGUGAAAUCAAUUCAAUUUGCUUUUUCCACUAAUUGUAUCAUCAGAGAAAAACAUGAAUAUUACACAAUGUUAUGCUAUUUCACUAUAAAUUAUGACUCUGCACUUGAGUAAGAAAUCAAUAUCAAAUUAUGAUACUUAAGUAAUGUAAUUCUUUAAUAAAAAUAAACUGCCCUACAGUAUUCAAUUUCACAUCUUUCCACAAUUUCCACACUCAGCAAAUGAUUUAUUCUGAAAGCAGCAUAGAGCAAAUGAAUAAAUUAACUUUAUAUUAAGAUAUAUAUUUAGUCUUGCUUUGAACUAAUUUUACAGAGCUCAUCAAGAGAACAUGAGGGUCUGACAAAUAAGGGAUCAUAUUAUAAACAUAAUUGGGUCUCAUUUAGCUUCUGUCAGAACCUUGUAUAACUCUAGGCAGAUUUUAUAUAUCUGAAUUUAAUCGUCUGAGGGUGUAUGUGUACACACACACACAUAUACAUACAUACCCAUAUACAUACAUACGUACAUACAUACGUUAGUGUGUACAUGCAUACAUACGUAUAUACGUAUGCAUGUAAGUACUUAUGUAUGCAUGCAUACAUGUGUGUGUGUAUGUAUGUAUAAAUAGACAGACAGACAGGCAAAUAUACAAAUAGAUGUAGAUACAUACAUACAUACAUUCAUACAUACAUACAUAUGAAGAUACAUAGAUACAUACAUACAUACAUGCAUACAUACAUUCGUACAUACAUACAUACGUAUGUAUGUAUGUAUGUACUUAUGUAUGCAAGCAUGCAUACAUGUGUGUGUGAGAAAGAGUAUGUGUAUGUAUGUAUAAAUAGACAGACAGACAGGCAAAUAUACAGAUAGAUGUAGAUAUAUACAUACAUGCAUACAUACAUACGGACAUACAUACAUACAUACAUAUGUACAUACGUACAUACGUACAUUCGUACAUACGUACAUACAUACAUACAUAUAUAAAUGCAUACACACAGACAUGCACAAGGGUGUAUUAUUCAUAAUAUAUAUUCUUAUACUUAAUUAACUCAUUUGAAUUAUCAGCCAUUACAUAAUUCUUUUUCUACACUUAUUGUCCAAUUAACGUCACCAGAUGAAUAAUCAUCAAUUUUUACAUGGACAUGUAGACAAUCUAAUUAACAAUUUUUUAUUGUUUCUGAAUACAUAGAAGCUAAAUAAGAUAUAACUAAGUUAAGAUCUCAGUCCUUUCAUUGUCAGGCCAACAUGUUCUCUCAGGAAAUUACAAUGUAAAAUUUGUUUAAGAGUAAGCUGAAAUUUAUAUUCAUAUAUAGAAAGAUUUGCAAAAAUGCUGGAAUAAGAAACAAACACUGAAUAGGAGCAGCAGUAGUGGCAGCAGUAGCAGUAGCAAAACACCAUCAACCACUAACCACCCCAAUCUUGUUAUUUAUGUAUUCUUUCAUUUAUUUAUCUAUGUAUUUAGGGUGUCAACAGUAAACUAUAAGCAUUGUAAGUUCUGAAGCAGAUAUCAUGUUUAGACUUAAGGAAACACUUCACCUCAGGUUAUAAAUUAUCUCCACUUAAUAUUUUGACUUCUUCCACAGCUUACAUAUUUACAGACAAAAAACAUAAGCACAUACACAUGAGCAUGCAGGAACAUGCAUGCAAACAUGCACGUGUGUACACACACACACACACACACACAAGCACACACAUACAGACAGCACAUACACACACAAAGAGAAACAAACAGUUCUUCCACAAAAUAUGAACACAAAAAAAUCAUACUUAAAAUAUAGCAUACUUACAAUGCAUAUACAUAGAUGUAUGUAUGUAUAUGUAUGUAUAUAACUAUAUAUAUAUGUGUGUGUGUGUGAAGAAGUGCCACUCCCAAACAGUUGAAGGAAUCCAGGGUGAGGUAGACUCAGGAAGACAUAGGAUGAGGUGGUCAAGCAUGACCAUCAAACAGUGGGCCUCACAAAGACAAAAGACAGAGUGGGGAACUCUGUCAAAAGUUUUUUCCAGGUCAACAAAGGCUAAGUACAAUGGCUUACUUUUGGCCAAGUACUUUUCCUGCAGCUGUCUCACUAAGAAUAGGGCAUGUGUGGUACUCUUUCCAGGUACAAAACCAAACUGCAUUUCAUCUAGUUUAAUUCUAUUUCUAAUCAAUUGAGUUAUAACCCUCUCAUUUACUUUCAUGACUUGGUCUAGCAAUUUAAUACCUCUGUACUUGUUUCUAUCUAAGGCAUCACCAUUACCCUUGUAGCAGCUAACUAUUAUACUACAACAGCAGUCAUUGGGGAUGGUGCCUUCCUGAAUAACCUGAUUGACUAUAUGGGUGACUAAACUAUAUCCUACACCACCAGAAAUUUUAAUCAUCUUGGCAGUGAUUCCUGAUGGCCCAGGGUCUUUCCCUGUCUUCACAUCCUUAAUUGCCUUAUCUAUUGUGCUGCUAUUGUCUCCAAUGGCUGGUCCCUCAAUUGGUUUCAUAUUUGGUAGAUUCUCUUUCUUCUAUUCAUUUUCCACACUUAGUAACCUUUCAUAGUGACACUUCCAUGCAUCUUUCUUCUCUGAAUCACUAAAUGCAAGCAUACCAUUAUCCAUUCGCACACAUUUCUCACCUACCACAUCUCUAUUUUCUCUGAUACACUGCUUCGCAAUCCUGAACACCUCAUGCCUCUGAUCCUCACACUGUAAAACAUUUGCAAAUCUCUUACCUUCAUCUACUCCUUUUGCUAUGUAUACCUGACACCUAGCUGCCCUUUUGGCUACCUAAUAUAAUUCUCUGUUUCCACCGUUUUUCCAGACUGAUCUUUUUGCUUUUAUAGCACUGUCAACCUCCUUGUUCCACCACCAUGACACCCUUGGUCUAACUGGGACUCUGCACCAACCACAGAUAUUGUCCAUAGCCCUCAGUAGAUUGUCCUGUAGAAAUUUCCAAUUGUCCUCUAAGUUAUAUGUCUCCAACUCUUCCUCACUUUUGUUAGAAGCUUUCAUUAGUAAAUCUCUAAAUUUUCGUCUGUUUAUUGGGUGUUUGAGCUUCCAUAGUCUAUAUAUAUGCAUUGAUGUAGUUCUUAGGUCCAUUGGAUCCUGUCAAACUAUUCAUCUCAUACCUACAUGGAACAUGGACAUUAAAUGAUGAUGAUGAAAAGUUCCUUUAUACACCCAGUAUAAAGAAAAUAUUAGUGGGUAAGCCAACACUGGUAUAAAUACACUGUGAAAAUUAUCUAAGGCAUUACAGCUAAGUUCUGGUUUGUAUUUGAUUUAAAUAGUGAUUGCUAUAAGUUCUCAUUUUCUCUUGCGUUUCUUCACUGUGUAGCCAUGUCAUCUGAGCCUGAAUGAUUGCUAGAUUGAGCUUGGUAUACUAUAUGAGCCAUCCAGUGACUGUACUGUCUAUGCUAAAAACUUGAAGUAGUUUAUAUGUAACCCCUGUAUUCAUCAAAUGAUACUUAUUCCUUGCUAGGUUAAGUACUUUUUUGCUGAUCCUACAAACAAGUGAGCAUUAUACUGGCACUUCCCAAAUUGCAUCUCCACUAUUGUCUGUCAUUCCCUACAUUCACCUCUGUCCCAAUUUCUGACCAACUGCUACUCUCCCUUCACAUUACCUUGAAUUUUGAGAUGCUGUGGCUUCUAAAGGCUGACAUGUCUAUUCUCUUACCAGGUACACCCAUCCAUGCCUUAAGGAUGCGAGGUAGCCAUGUAUCUGCUCUAUAAUAAGAUACUUGGGCUGUCCUCAGUCAUAUUUCUUUGCCCCUCAACACCUGGCAUACAACCAACUCCUCACCUCUGACAUUCCUCCAUCCCUCCCUCCCACUAAGUGAAGGGGACUUUUUCUUUGUGCUAUUUUUUUUCCCUUUCCUUCUACUGUACUUUCUUGUUUUGCAAGUUACUUGUUGAGUUCAUUAGUGCCGAUGGCGUAAGAAAAAUCAUUCAGUACAUACUGUAAAGUGGCUGGCAUUAGGAAGGGCAUCCAUUUGUAGAAACCACACUAAAGCUGCUGAGCUUUCACAGUCCUGCAGCUCACUAGAUCCUGUCAAAUUAUCCAACCCAUACCAGUAUGGAAAAUGGAAGUUAAAUGAUGAUAAUGAUGGCGAUGAUGAUGAUGAUGUUAUACAUAAAGAAUUUAGUUUCUAUACUGACUUCUAUUUUUUAUCAACACAUGUGUACAAACAAACUGAUGUAAUUUCUAACCAGACCCAUCACAUGAAACUGUGUAUGUGUUCUCCAUAUGUUUAUUGUUAAAAGUUUGAAUAGAACAUGACUGUCUGACAGAGAACUACAGAGAAAGUACAUUUUAUAUACAGUAGUGUGAUUGUGGACUGGUUCUUUAGUUAUGUGAGCAUGGAGAGAGAAAGAGAGAGAUAGAGCAGAGAGAGAAAGAAAGAGAGAGAGAGAGCAAAGAGAGAGAGAGAGAGAGAGAGAGAGUGUGUGUGUGUGUGUGUGUCAUCUGCCAAAGAGUAGCCCUUAAGCAAGAAACAAUACAGGUAGUUAAAUUUGCAGACUCUUCAUAUUUGACAUAUCAGGCUGUCAAACAUAGCUGAUUGCUGGAUUGCUGCAGCUAACAUGAUAUGAUGCUUGAUUGCAUUCACUCCUUUCACAAGUCUGCUCUGUUCUGCGAUCUUGUCUAUUUUCUUCCAGCUUAUAUUAAGCUUGACUGAUUUACCAUCAAUAACUUUGAUUCAUCAGCUUUUUGCUAACAUCAAUCAGUAAGUUUGAUGUAUAGUUGUUGAGAACCAUUAGUUAAUUUUUUUUAAUGAUAUCAUCAGCUGAUUAGAAAAAUUGAGUUGUUGUUUGUCAAAAAUUUCUUGAUAUGAAAUAAUAAGUUGAGUUCAAACUUUAACACAGAUCUAUACUCAGAAUGCUUACAAUGUUGAAAACAGCUGGGAUAGUGCAUUUUCGGCUGAUGUAGGGAUGGUAUAUAGGCAAAAGAAAUGCUCGUAUUUGAUAGGUUAAUGUGGAAAAACAGUCCUGUCCAUCAAUAGUCUCUUUAUCUACCCUGCUCCAUAUAACCACCAUCAUUUCAUUUUUCUUUUGUAUGAGUAAACAAGGACUCUGAACAUGCAUAUAUUUGUACAGUUUUGUAAAUAUAAGAGCAAAUAGAUGUCCACAUUCAAAUAAAGGUGUGUGGAAUAGCCUAUGUAUGAUACACACACACUUACACACUUUGUAAUGGCUACUCCAGUUUGUAUACCAUGCACACAUAUACGUAUGUGUCUGUAGGUGGGGGGGGGGGGGGUAUACAGGAUGUUCAGGAUAAAUUUGACAAUUUUAUGUCUCCUUUUUUUGCAAGAACAACUUGAUACAUUGGUGAAAAGUCAAUAGCAUUGGAGAGUAUAAAGAUUGAAGUUGUAGCUGAAAAAAAGUUAGCUGAUAUGGAGAACUGGAAGCCAUCUGAAUAUUGAAUGAUUCAUGCUGGGUAUCUAAAUGCCAACAUCAUGACUCUGCAAAGGCUGUAAAAUGUGAAAUAGACAGAUGCAACAGAGACUACAAAGUUCAUACUACACAUGGCAGAGCAGGAUGUUCUUUUGGGUUAGUGAAAAACUAACACCUUAGCUGCAACAGACUUUCCAUAAGAGUAACCAGAUUUGGUGGUGCUGGAUUAAAAUUUCGUGGUGCUAGAGUAGAUUAUCAGAGUGGAUGGUGCUGUAGUCUAUUUGGGUGGUGUGGUAGAGAUUAGGCACUGUGCCUUUGAGGAUAGAGCAAUCAGGUCUAAGGUGGUAUAUAUCAACUGUUGGCUACCAGUGGCUUAAAGUUCAUUAACAAGGAGUACUCCUGGUGGCAACAAUAAGAUAGUUUAUUCUUCCUGUUGAUGGACAUUGCAGGUUGGUGGAGUAUGUGUAAUCCCUUGCAGAGGCAGAGAUGGCAAUUACAAGUUACAGUUGAUUAUGGAGGGGCUCUGUCAAUGAUACUCUAUUUGACGUUGGGACCCCUGCACUUGAAGGAGUGCUUAUGUCAUGUACACCUUCCCUUGUACAUACUUACAUAUAUAUGUAUAUAUACAUGCAUAUAUGGGUACAGGAUGUUAAAAAAUGCAAACAACAUGAAAAAGGAGAACAUGAAAUGCAAAACAUGGAAAACAAACUUAUUUUGCAGACAACACAAGAAACAAAUAGAAAAACGAGACAGGCAACAUAAAGAACAAUCACUUCAUCCGUUGUCCACUGUUUUAUUUACUCCAGAUUUUGACAUUAGGACAAGAUGUGUCUUUGUCAAAACAGUCGCUCACACAAAGCAAAUUAAAUAAAAUUUGGGAUUUGCAGAGGGUCAAAGUUGGUAACAAAAACAGGACAGUUAAAAUAAACAGUAAGUAAACUGUUAAGCCAUAACGAGGUGAAGUGGUGAAUGCUGGAGAAACAAGCUUUAACGGGAGACAGACAAAAAUGCAUGCUAUCCCUUGUAGCUGAACGAGAAGAAAGAAAGAAAUUUUAGUUAGAAGAAGAAAGAUGGUCGCCGGUCACAUGUGAGCAACAAGAGAGUCAAGGAGGAAGAGUAAGGGAGAGAGAGGGACAGAUAGAGAACAGUGAAGGGGGAGUAGAAGAAUUAGAGAAAGGGUAGGAGAGAAAAAAGAAUAUAGAAAGAGGAAGAGAAAGAGAAAUAGGGAUAGUGAUAGAAUAGUGUCGCAUCAGAAUUAUUAAGAUAAAACUUACUUGGAAAUGGAUGCAUGGCAUUCGAUCAUAUAAUAAUAUAAAUAAUAUGCAUAUAUAUGCACAUAUACAUACAUACAUGUAUAUACUUGCAUAUAUAUUUAUAUGCACAUGCAUAUAUGGGUACAGGACAUAAAAAAAUGUAAACAACAUGAAAAACGAGAACAUGAAAUGCAAAAACUAAAUACCUAUAACUCCAAAAUUAUAUAACUAAAUAGCCACCAAUCCUUUAAGUCUACACAGAUAAUAUUUCCACUAGUCUUCCAUAGUUAUUAAUAUAAAAGUGAAAUCUUGAUAUUUUAUUCACUCAAAAACAAAAUAAACUUGAUUGAACUUAACUUAACUAAUAAUAUAACUAAUUCUGAGUGAAUUACACUAUUUCAUUAUCCAAAAGUUAAUAAUUAAAACACUACAUACAUAUUAAAUAUUUGUUAUCCUUACAUGCUUUAAUGUUAAACUUAUACCAGUAACUUAAUGGAUAAUACUAAAAUCUUUAUAAAUAGGAACUAAUAAAAGAAUACAUGUAAUUAACAAUUAUUAUAUAUAUAUUAUAAUUCUACCCUGGGGUAGUUUUCUACCAGGCCAACUCCUGUCAACUGUCCAACCCAUGCCUGCAUGGAAGGCAGACUUUAAAUGAUGAUGAUGAUUAUAUAUAUAUAUAUAUAUAUAUAUAUAUAUAUAUAUAUAUAUAUAUAUAUAUAUAUGUAUGUAUGUAUGUAUGUAUGUAUGUAUGUAUAUAACAGAAUCAGCCAAAAAUAUGUAUACAUACUUCAAGGAAAGAAAAAUGUGUAGAAAUAUUUUGAUGUAGGUUUUUGCAGUCAUUUUCAUACAUUUGUCAUUCAAUUUGAUAAUCGGGUCAUUCAAAGGUGUGAAAAAGUUAGCGCCAUGAAGUUAGGCAUUCAAAUUCAUUUUACAAUCAUUCAGUUUUGCACAUCGGUCAAAGAAUUUAGCAUUUACAUCAUUCAAAAUAAAAUGCCUAUCGAGAGCAUUCAAAUAAGUCGGAAUGUGAGGAAGCAUCUUUUCGAGCAUUCAAAUUCGUUUUAGAGCAAUCUAUUUAACACUUCAAGCAAUCAAAUUAGCACGAUAGCUAUUUUGGAUUUAUCUCAUGGUCAUUGUUAUCAUAAUCAUGUGUUUUCAUCCAUUGUUUAUGCUUUAAGUAUUCUAUCAUGCCCAUGUCUUUUCUAUGUAUUCUUUUAUUUUUGCAUAGGUACAUGUAUUUAUUGUGAGACUUCAUGAAAUUGCAUUCCAGCCUUUUCAAUCUUUUUAAAGAAACUCACAAUUACAAAAAAAUGUUCAUUUUCUUUGAUUUUGAACACAUCAUGUUGUGAUAUGUGUUCUUCCUUUGCAUAAUAUGUCUUGUUGGGAAAAGUAUAUAUUUCUUUGAUUUUUGCAUUUUUUCUUUCAUCAGGGAAAGGGUGCUAUGUACACUAAGAUAAUUAUUGAUUUACAGUCUUGAUAAGAAGAGUUUGUUUGAGAAGAUUUAGCCAUCUAUUUCCUGGCAGUUGAGGCACCGUGGGAGGUAGGUCUCUGUGUGUCUAUACCAACGAACACAAUUUUCUGGAGUGAUAGCUUUGAUAUUACACCUUGCGACCUGUUGUAUGACAUGUGCUCAUUCCUCCAUGGUCAUGUCAGCCAAGAACUCCUCGAAAGAGUUUUGUGUAGCAGUAUCAUUCACAAUGGAGUGGUGAACCAGGCCAAUUUCUCCCAACAUUGUGAAAGUGCUAUUGCAGUUUUCCCACACUGAUAGUUGACAACUCGGCGAACAGGAAUGCCUCAAGGGUCUCAUCCAAAAGGUCACCUGAUCCAAAUGUUGUACCCACAUUUAUCGAUAAAUAUGUAAUAGAUGAUGACUUCCUUUUCCAUAAACCAAUGCAUGUACUUAUAAUGCUUUUCUAGAGUUCUUGGAGUAUUUCUUGCAUCUGGGACGUCUUUGGCCAGCUUCAUAAUUAUCAACAUCCCAUCUAGAGCCCACGAGAUAGCAGACAUGGAAACAGGUAGCUUUCCAGGCAAUGCUGCCUCUAAGUCCCUCUUCAUCUGUUGAAAGGUUGCAAGUAGGUUGGCACCAAUAAUCACCUGAAACCUGGCUCACAUUUCCUCAUCAACCUUAAUGAGGUGGGUAGCUCCUCUGGACAACAUGUGGUACCUCCCAGACUGUAGGUAGGUCACUACUAUGGAUCAGGCAGUACUCCUUUUAAUGCCAAGUGUGUCUACCAGUUGCAGGUAAUCUCAAAGGCGUCAACCAGCCUUGCCCUAUCUUCAUCCAAUAUACGCAUGUAUCUUAUGUGUGGCUCCAUGAUUACAAACUGGUAUAAGAGAAAGGAAUAUAAUAUGUAACUGAUGCCAACCAGUUACAAGUGUUGCAAUGAAAAAGACUUUCAUGUACAGAAGAAUCAAUUUAUUUCUUCUUUGUAGUUAUAACAGCAUAAUAAAAUUUGCAUGACAAAACAUGUCACUUAAAUUUGUCAUUUUUAACACUCACUUCUUAGAAUGUGAGUAAAAACAGACAUGUAAAAUUAGUGCUAAAUUGAAUAAACUUAUUCCAAAUUUGAAUGCUCACAUGCAAAUUUGAAUGCUCGAAAAGAUACUUCUUCACAUUCCAACUAAUCUGAAUGCUCUUGACAGGCACUUUAAUUUGAAUGAUGUAAAUGCCAAAUUCUUUGACCGAAGUGCAAAAUUGAAUGAUUGAAAGACAAAUUUGAAUGACUAACUUCAUGGCACUAAUGUUUUUUGUGACUUUAAAUGACUCAGUUAUCAAAUUGAAUGACAAAUGUACAAAUAUGACUGCAAAAGCUUAUACUAAAUUUAUUCAGAUAUCACAGAAUUGAUACAGUCUAUCUUUAAACUCCACAAUUGCAAGAGGUGCUCAAAGUGGUCACCAUUAGCUUCCAGACACUUAUUAGUACAGCGAAAUGCUGCUUUGGGCAAUGUUGGCCAAAGUGUUCAGUAAGAUUGCUGCACAUACCAUUCAAUUUCUUCCUAAAGGACUGUCAGUGCAGUCAGUCUUCUGCAAUACAGUCAUUCUUUAGGGUAACCCAUAAGUAAAAGUUACUGCAAAUGUUAAAUCAGGAGAACAUGCAAGUAACUCAAUUGUAUACUAUCUUGUGUUCUUGCAAAUUCUUAUCCAGAUAAGCUCACAUGUCUCUGCAGUAGUGUGUUGGUGUGCUGUCUUGUUGAAAAAAUGUCAUCAUUUCGAUAAAAUACAUGUAUGGCAGGUAAAAUGGCUAUGCAUAGCAUGUCUAGGUGUGCCUGAACAGUGUCAGAACCUUCAAAGAAAAAUGGUCCUAUUAAACAUUUUGAUGACACUCUACACCAAACAUUGACACUCAGUAAAUUGACUGCUUUGUCAACAUGUCAAAAAAUGCAUAAAAGUUUAAAGGUAUGUUAUAUUAAUCCUAUGAUGUCUGAAUAAAUUUACCACUAAAAUGUUUCUACACAUUUUUUCUUUCUCUGAAGUGUAUAUAAAUUUUUUUGGCACUCUCUCUCUCUCUCUCUCUCUCUCUCUCUCUCUCUCUAUAUAUAUCUCUAUAUAUAUAUAUAUAUAUAUAUAUAUAUAUAUAUAUAUAUAUAUAUAUAAUAUAUAUAUAUAAAUAUAUAUACAUACAUACAUAUACAUACAUAUGUAUAUACAUGUAUAUUUAUGUAUAUAUGUAUAUGUGUAUGUAUAUAUAUAUAUAUAUAUAUAUAUAUAUAUAUAUAUAUAUAUAUGUUUGUAUGUAUGUAUGUAUGUAUGUAUGUAUGUAUGUAUGUAUGUAUGUAUUUAUUUAUAUAUUAUAUAUGUGUAUACGUAUAAAUAUAUGUAUGUGUGUGUAUACAAAAAACAAGCAAACACACACACACAUGCACACACAAAUAUGCAUAAAUGUAUGUAUGUGCAUAUGUAUGUGGUAACUAGGAUUAAAAAGCGACACCUAAAGAUUCAGUGCAGUCAGUUUGUCUGGGUGGCUGUAUACAACAGGUGGAAGGAAAGAAUAGGCGACAGUUGAAAGUUUUAGACAACACUUGACAGUUACAUAGCCCAUGAUAUCAACUGCCUUUCAUUGUACAUGAUGUCAGGAGCCAUUCAUACUUAAUCAAUCUUUAUCUCUGGUUCUGGUUCAUUUCUACCCACUGCUGAGUACAUACGUUUGUAGCCUUAGUUACAGUCAGUAUACAUUCUUUACAUUCUAAACUUUUCCCAUGUAAGACUGCUUUGCACACUUUGACAUUUUUAUACAAACUGUGAGUGUGCACAUGUGUGUGUGUGUGUGUGUGUGUGUGUGUGUGUGUGUACAUAUACGCAUAUAUACAUAUGUAUAUGUCAUUAUCAUCAUCAUCAGUUAAAAUCUGCUUUUAAUGCUGGCAUAGGUAGGAUGGUUUGACAUGGUACCAGUAAGCUGCAGAGAUGCAUCAAGCUCUGAUGUCAUCUUUGGAAUGGUUUCUAUGGCUGAAUGCCCUUCCUAAUGCCAACCAUUUAACUCAGUGUACUGGGUGCCUUUUUCAUGCCACCAGCACUAUUGUCAUGUAACUUGCAAACAAAAAAUACCACAGAAAAAUGAAGCAGUAAAAGCCUCUACAACUAAGAGGAAGUAUUUAAGAAGAGAAAGUGUAGGUGGGUGGAUAUAUGGGUGGGUGGUGCUGAAAGUUUAAAGUAUGAUAGAGGGACAAGCACAGGUGUCUUGCUAUAGAGGAGAUAUAUGGCUGAAGGAGAUAAAAGGUAGGUAGUGGUGGGAUGCUAGAGCAAACUCUUAAGGAUCAAGAAGGUGAGCAUUAGAGAGGGCGAGGACAGUGAACCAUGGGAGGAGAUGAGAGAGUGGAUGCUUUUAUAAGAGUGUAUGUGUGGGGGAGCGGAGUGGCAAAUAGAUGGAGGUAAAGGUUAAUGUAAUGAGUGAUGAACAAAGGUGCAGAUGAUGGGAAAUACCAGUAUGGAGAGGGGUUAGGUGGGAGAUAUAAGGGUGACUCAAGAAGGAGAAUAGAACAAGAAGUUGUAGAAUGAUGUGCAAAUAGGAGCUGUGGAGGGGGAGAUAUAGAGAUACAUAUAGUAGGUUAGUUAUGAUGUUAGAUGUGCGAGGGCAUCAAGAAUGAUAGCAGAUAAAAGAGAUGUUUAGAACAGAGGGGAGAUAGAGUAGUGGCUGAAGUCACAGAAAGGUAACCUGUUGAAAUAAUGUGGACAAGGAUGAUGAAGCAUUGAAGGAGUUCCACAGAGAGAAGAGGCACUGUUUGGGAGGGGAUUGAAUAAAGUAUGUGCUGAUACUGCUCUCUGGUGAGUACAGUAGCCAUGUAGUACCACAGUUGGGUGGUGGGGAUGAAAUAAUUUGGAGAGGAAUGCUUGACAUAUCAGGGAGAGGGGAAAGAGAAAAGGGGGACAGGGCCUCACAUAUACAAGAAUAACCGAGUGGGGUUUUGCUGUAAUUGGUGGCUCUUCUUGAGCACAGCAAAAUGCCAAACAUCUCAGUCCUUUGUCAUCACCUUGUAAAGCUCUGCAUCUUGAGAUCAGCCUUCAGUACUUCAUCCCAUGUCUUCCUGCAUCAUCCUCUUCCAUCACUUCCAUCCACUUUAAACAAUUGGCACUUUUUUAUGCAACUGUCCUCAUCAUAUAUAUAUAUAUAUAUAUAUAUAUAUAUACACAUGUGUGUAUGUGUCUGUGUAUACAAGAGGGUACCCAAAAUUAACCAGAAAUAUUUUCUGUGGGAAAAAACCCAUUGUCGUUCAGGCUUCUGCUAUUAGAAGCCACUUCAUGUGACUCUCAGGCAUUCAUCUGCAACCAGCCUCGUUGAGCAAAGUUGUACUGCCAUGUGAUGUGUCUUCGUUUUGCAGUGCUUCUCCUGUUUGUCAAUUUUUACAAUAGCUGAAACAAAGGAACAACAUGCUUCCAUGGAAUUUUGUUUUCUGCUGGGGAAAAUGGCAGCUGAAACAGUUGUCAUGCUUCAAACAGCUUACAAGGAUGCUGCCAUGAGCAAAAUGCAAGUUUGCAAGUGGUUCCCACGCUUUAGGAAUGGUCACUUGUCACCUGAAAACCAACCUCAUUCAGGAUGACCAUUGACCUCUCAAACAAAUGAAAACAUCAUGAAAAUUCAUGAAUUGAUCACUGAACCUGAAUACAUGUCAUGAACUGAAAGAACAGUUGGAAGUUGAUCCAGACCAUUUUCCAAAGGUGGUGGUGGGUGGAUAUAUGGCUGGGUGGUGCUGAAGGGCUAAAGUAUGACAGAAAGACAAGCACAGAUGUCUUGCUAUAGAGGAGCUAUAUGGCUGGAGGAGAUAAAAGGUAGGUAGUAGUGAGGUGCAAGAGCAAACUCUUAAGGGUCAUGAAGGUGAGCACUAGAGAGGGUGAGCACAGAGAAUCGAAGCUCAUCACUGGUGACGAAAGUUGGUGUUAUGGAAUUUGAAGAUGCAGAAGAGGUUAAGAAAAAAAAACAACGGAGGCAUCAAAAGGCAUCACUUUGCAAGAGUUCUAGUACUGCUUUCAAUAGUGGAAAAUGUGUCUAGACCAAUGCAUUGCUUCAAAUGGAGAAUAUUUUGAAAACAAUAAAAGCGUAAGCAUGUAAAACUAAGUGAAUAAAAUAAUAUUACAAAAUUCUGCUUUUUUGGGGGUACCCCUAUGUAUACACACGUACACACACACAUAUAUAUAUAUAUAGAGAGAGAGAUGAGACAGAUAUUCUUCAUGCAGAAUAUACUUCUUAAUGCUCAAGAGGUUUAAACUUGAGCAGGUAGAGGAGUAAAUGUGAGGAUAAGCAAGAUAGGCAAAUUGAUAUACAUAAAAUAUUAAAUACAUUUAAAUAUAUUUUGUAUACCGACAUGCCUAACUUGUUUAUCCUUACAUUUAUCUCUUAUUAUAAAAGGCAGAUUUUAUCUGCCUCCCUUUGGGAGUUAUACAAAUCUACAAUAUAGGAUUUCUUCAAUUACAAUUUACCUAGCAUUUUACCUAGCAUUUUUAAGAGUACAAUGCAUCGCGUCAUGCCAGGUCCAGUUUUUAAAAUUUAAACUCCAAUUAAGCAAAAUUUACAGAAAACUCACAUUCUGGUGUGUGUGUCAAAUGCUUUUCUUAGUCUGGUUUACACCACACGCAAACGCACACACACAGUGGGCAAUGAAUAAACUGAAACUAAUUCACUGUGUGUUGACAGGUAGAAAAUAGAAUGCGAUGGCGAUGGCUAUGGCGAUGGCGAUGGCUAUGGCGAUGGCGAUGUAAUAUUUGUUUCUCUCUAUGACGCUCAUAAAAGCAUUGAUGUACAUGUGUGCGUGCGUGAGUGUGUGUGUGUCAUUCCUCACACACACGCAUACACAUACAUAUAUGAGAGUGGCAAACACAAACGUUUCAAACAACUACAUACAAACACGUGUGUGUUUGUUAUUAGUAAAAAAAGGCGCCAAAACACAACUCACUUAUCAUUCCAACACAUUUGCAAAGACACACGGACGGUCGAAUAACAAUACAGAAAAGGUAAAUUGGUUUUUAUUUUACUCUGUAUAUAUUUUAUUAUAUAAUAUUAUAUAUAGAUAUAUGUAUAUAUAAUUGCAGUAUGAAACAGUGUUUAUGUAUAAACAGACGACACUUAUAUAUAGUUAUUAAUAAAUGUAUGCAUCCGUUUAACCCUUUCGUUACCAAACCGCCCGAAAAAAAUUUUGGUUAAUGUGACCAAGCCGCCCGAAUUUACCUAUUCAUAUUUAAAUGAGAAUAUCAGAGUAAAUCUCUUUAGAACAUUCGUGAAAACACGUAUUAUACUUCGUAAACAGUUCAACUACAGUUUUGUACAAAAAUCGAAGUGUAAUUUUAAUUCCGUGAAUUAUGGGAGAUUUUUUUCCGAAAUUUGUUCCUAUUGUGUUUUCAAAAUUUGUAAUUCUGACAAAAAAUGGAUACGAAUUUCAUUAUAUCAAGCAGCGAGUCAGAAUUCGAAGGAUUUUCUACUGAAGACCUUCAUAAAUCUAACUCUAUGACUGAAAAAAAAAAGCAUGUGGUAUUUGAUCUCAACCUAAACAAAGCGAAAGAAACGAUAGUUUGUUAUUUCCCACAACCUUAAAUGAAAUUAAGGCCUAUUUUGCCAUAAAUAUUAUUAUGGGUAUUAGAAAGUUACCCAGAAUUACAAAUUCUAUCGUAAAAUUUUGUUGUAUACCCAAUUGAAUAUUAGCUAAUAACCCAUUUUCUAUAACGAUGUUUGAACAAAAUUUUAAUAAUUUUAUAUAUUGUUGAAUUUACCUGUAUCUACCUGCAAUUAGAGUCACUUUGUGACAAAAAUUAUAGUAUAGAAUUGGUUGAGAACAUUUCACUAAAUUAUCUUCCAAAAAUCAGAUUAAUAUAUUCAUAAAUAAAAAAGUUAUAGUUGUUUAAUGAAACCAGACUAAAUUUAUGAUUACGUUAGAAAUUAAUUGAAACACAUAAGGGGUGUAUUUUGGUCAGAAAUAUAGUAACGAAAGGGUUAAGAAAAACCAAAAAAUAUUUUAUUCUUUGUAAAUGUUGUGUUCAAAAUAACAUUUUCUUUUAAGAAUGUGUAUAUAACAAAGUAUGUGUAUAUAACUACGUGGCUUAUAUCUUUAUAUAUAAGAGUGAAGUUGUGUGUCUGUCUCCUACGAUUUAGAUUCGUAACUACUCCCACAUUUUGCGGUGUAGUUUAACCAAAAGCGGGUAUCUUAUAGUCGUGAUUCAUAUCGAGCCCUUCUGGGUAUUAGCGCGCGUCUACGAUGAGUCUACGAUUUUAAAAAAAUUUACCAUCAUAUUUUUCCAUUUUAAUGCAUAUUUUUCGUUAUUAUAUAAGGGAAGUAACUCUCUAAAAAUAUCUACGAUGUGUCAACGAUUUAAAAAAAAAAUUACCUUAAUUUUUUUUCAAUUUUUAAUGCAUUUUUUUGCUAUAACUCUCUAAAAAUGCUUAUAUAGUUAUUUCCCUUACAAACCCGAGCAACGCCGGGCGAUACUGCUAGUAUAUAUAUAUAUAUACUCACACACAUGCACACCCAUAUGUGUGUGCACACACAUGCAUACACACAUAUGUAUAGUGUUUUAUUUAAGCUGAAAAUACUUCACAAGCUCAGUGCAACUCUCUGAUGAUCAGUUACAUAAAAUUCUUAAUAACAGUUUGUGAAAGUUUUUCAGCUUCAAUAAAACACUUCAGUACUCGAGAGUUAUUUUUUUCCACCGUGUUUUGCACCUAUACACUUGCAUGUGUGUAUAUCUAUAUUUAUACCUAUAUCUACAUAUAUGCAUGCGAGCGCACACACACACACACACACACACAUUUAUAUUAUCCUCUUCAUUACUUCAUCAUCAUUUUAUGUCCAUUUUUCAAACUACGUUGAGCAAGAUAUCACAGAGUGAGUCAGUUCUUAGUUGAAGCUGGUACUCACCAAAAUGUUUUGGUGACCAUGUCUCACACAUUGAUUUCAAUUUAAUGCCCUCUACAACUGGAUACCUUUCCUAUCCCUAUCUGCUUUACAGAAUGAAGCAGGUGAGUUCAUUCAUGACAUCGUGCCCUAGUAUAUUUGUCAAUUCCUUAAGGACAAGUUGAAAAUUUUUCUCUACCUUAAGUUAUUUCUAUUCAUUCACCAACCACUUGGUAGAAUACAUUGGGGGUAGAUUUCAUUGACACCAGCAUUAGAGAAGUUGUUUUGUCUCAAGCAAGACAACGAAAAUUUAUUCUAUGUUACUUCCAUCUAUUUAUUUACCAGUACCAGAAAAAGGUCAUCUCAUCCCUGGCACUGAUAAAAAGGAACAAGUUGGAGAGAACAGAAGAAAGAGGAGAGAGGAAUGGAAGAGACCAAAAGUGAUAGGAUCAAGACUGUAAUAGAAGAGGCAGGAAAGGAAGGGGGGAGAAAGAGAGAGAGAGAGAGAGAAACAGCUGGAUGGACAGACAAUGAGGGAGAGCUGCUCAGUGAUUUUUGGUGAAGAGAUUGGAUAGAAAUCCAAUAAGUUGAUAGGUGAUAAAGACAGUCAUAGAGGGAGAGAGAGUAAAAGUGAGAAUACUGAAAGUGAAAGAGUGAUGAUAGAGUUUUAUUUACAAUCAGUGGUGGAGGAUAGAUUUCAAUUUUGUUCAUUAAAUUUAAUUCUUUGAUGUCACACUUAACCAAAUUGUUCAUGCAUGAUAGGCACAGGCAGGGCUGUGUGAUAAGAAGUUUGCUUCCUAGCCAUAUGGUUUGAGAUUCAGUCCCACUGCAUAGCACCUUCGGUAAGUGUCUUCUACUAUAGCUAUAGGCUGACCAAAGCCUUGUGGAAUGGAUUUGGUAGACGAAACCUGAAAGAAGCCUGUUGUGUGUGUGUGUGUGUGUGUGUGUGUGUAUGUGCGCACACGUGUGUGUGUUUGAGUCAGUGUUUGCCCCCCACCAUUGCUUGAUAACUGGUGUUGGGGUGUUUAUGUUCUUGUAACUUAACAGUUUGGCAAAAGAAACCUAUACAAUAAGUACCAGGCUUAAAAAAUAGAUAAGUACUGGUGUUGAGUCAUUUGACUAAAAGUUCUUCAAGGCAGUGCCCCAACAUGGCCACAGUCUAAUGACUGAGACAAGUAAAAGAUAAAAGAAAAAUUAUCUAGAAUUUUCCAUAAUGCUCUAACUUCUUCCAGCUUCCAAAAUCUUUCUUAAUACUAUUUCUUACACAUUUAAAGCUGUGCUGCUUUUAAUUCUUCACUCUUAGCCAAGUCAUUAACUGUGAAGUUUGAAAUCACAGUAACCCUGUUCUUUUUUUUUUGUCUGAUAAAAGUUUUUGACUCUAGUUUGUUAUUAAGACUUUUGUUUAAUUAAUGUUUUUUUGAUGUUUUUAAUUUUACUAAAAACACCAACACCAAAUAUUAGGCUCCUCUUUCAAAAGUGAGAACUUCCUACAAUGCUGACUGAAAUUUCAGAGCCCCCACCCCACCGAGUUUCUUCCUCAAGACAUAGUAACCACCCUCCAACUCUCUCUUUUGCUGCAGAAUACUGCAGCUGUAAUUAAAUGUGGGCAGAGCUGCAUAUUUCAUCAGUUUUUCUCUGAUACCACUUUAUCUUUCCUGCUACCCAGAACCACUACACCUGAUAUCCAUCCUUCAUUCUUAAUACUGUCUACUUCAACCACAGUUUACAUUGGUCACCCUCCUGAGCCACCAAAUUAUUUCUCCUCCACCAACACACAUCUCUCCUCCCCUUUCUCUUCAUUUACUACACUCUUAGAAUCUACACAACAUCUCACUCUUUUUCUCCCUCUCUCUCCCCCCUCUCUCUCUCUUCCAUCCUUCCUCAUCCUUCCCCUCUCUACUUUAUCAUUAUUGCCAUUCUGCUGCUCUCCACCCACUUCUAUGCACUGUCAGUCAUCUCCUCUUCCCUGAUUACCCCAAUUCAUAGUCACAUCUCAACACCACCCAAUUUCUACAGUUGUCACCUACUCUUCCCUCUCUCCUCCUUAUCUCCCCUCAACACUUGUUCUUUGUUAUAUUCACCCCUUCACCCAUUCCCCACCACUAAUCAUCUCUCACUCUUCCAUACACUCUUGCAUCCUCUACCUACUCACACUUUCUGUUCUUCUGUCCUCACUCUCUUCUGCUCAUCUCCUAUCUUGAGGGUCCACCCUGAAAUCUCAUUAUCACCAUUAUUAUCCUUUUCCAGCUCCAUCCUAGUUACUUCCAUCCUCUCUUCUGUAAUCAGAGUUUCCAGGUAGCUCCUCUACAGCUGGAAAUCUGUUCUUUUCUGACCCCUUCUUUCACACUUUAACCCUUCAUCUCAUAGCAUAAAGCUACCUCCCUUGCUACUGUAGUCCCCAUCCCGGCACGUAGUCAAAGAGAAUCUUAGUCUUGCAGGAUACAUAGCAACUUAAUAAAGUUCUGGUGCUACAAAAAAGUGUCCAGUACAUACGGUACAGUAGAUGACAUUAAGAAGGACAACCAGCCAUAGAAUUUAUGCCAAAGCAGACCUUGGAGCACAUGCAGUCUUUGGACUCAUCCAAUCCUAUCAUCCUGCUCAUGCCAGCAUAAGACAUGGACUUUAAAUGAAGGUGGUGGUGGCAAUGACAACAAUGACACCAACAGCGACAACAAUAACAGUAGUAAAUAGAAAGCAUAUCUUUCCUUAAAAAAUUCACUCAGGAAUCAUCAUCAUCAUCAUCAUCAUCGUUUAACGUCCGUUCUCCAUGCUAGCAUGGGUUGGACAGUUCGACCGGGGAUCUGGGAAGCCAGAAGGCUGCACCAGGCUCCAGUCUUAUCUGGCAAUGUUUCUACAGCUGGAUGCCCUUCUUAACGCCAACCACUCCGUGAGUGUAGUGGGUGCUUUUUACGUGCCACCUGCACAGGUGCCAGGCGAGGCUGGCAACGGCCACGGUCAGAUUGGUGUAUUUUAUGUGCCACCGGCACGGAAGCCAGUCGAGGUGGCGCUGGCAUCGGCCACGAGUCGGAUAAUGCUUUUUACGUACCACCAGACCAGGGAUCCUGGCUGGUUCAAUUCGAUUUCGCUUGCCCCAACAUGUCUUCGCAAGCAAAGGGGGUUGGCAUGGGUGCCUGUCGUACGGUUGGAUUGGUGUAUUUUACGUGCCACCGGCACGGAAGCCAGUGGAGGCGGCGCUGGCAUCGGCCACGAGUCGGAUAGUGCUUUUUACGUACCACCAGACCAGGGAUCCUGGCUGGUUCAGUUCGAUUUCGAUUUCGCUUUCGCUUGCCCCAACAUGUCUUCGCAAGCAAAGGGGGUUGGCAUGGGUGCCUGUCGUCGGAUGAGGUUCUAUAUCGACUUCGCUUGCCUCAACAGGUCUUUGUGUCCAAGGGAGGAAAGGCAUUCAUAAGUGGGCUGGGCUCACUUGUCCUGCCUGGUCUUCUCACGUACGAAUAUUGUAAGUAAUAAAUAUGAGUUGAAACAUUUAAGAACCAUCCACCUAGUAUCUUCUUGCUACUCAAUGAAAAUAUGAAGAAUUCUGAAAUAUAUUUAAUCAAGAAAAGUAGAAACAUUUUUGUUAACUCAGGUUAAAUGAAAAAUCUAUAUGAAAAUGACAAUAAAAAAACCCGAUAUCUCUCUGAUUUGAUCUCCAGCACUUAAAAGAAAACAUACAACAUAGCACUAAAUGGCAUAAAUUCUUCUGCUAAAGACAGCCACUAAAUAAAAUGAUAAUAAAACAUUUGCUAAAGCCACAAGAGCUUUAUUCUAACUUAAAUGACCACAAAAAUAACAUCUAUCAACAACUUCCUAUUUAACAAAUAAACUCCUCCAAAACCAAUUUAGGUGUAACUAGAAGUAAAAUGGAUUUUUUGCUACCAAAGUUAAAAAGAAAUAUCUCAGUUACUAUCGCACAAUAAUAUAAGCCUCGUACUAAGUUGGCUCACCUACAUCUAAAACCAGAAAAAUUGCUUUUUUUUCCAGUUUGAUACCUUGAGAAUAUCACAUUCCUAUUUCCAAAUUCUCUAUUAAUCUAUUAACUAUAGAAUUCUACCACAUCAGUAAAACUUCAGAUCAUUGAAACAAUACUGGAAACUAGAAAAUUUCUUCUUUUCUACCUUUCAACAUUCGUCUGAACCCUUCGUUGUUACUAUGAAAUCAAAGAGUUCAGCUGAAAUAAACAACUUCAUAAGCUAAUAUAUCCUGAAUAUCCUCCAAAACUCUGUUUCUUUUCCUUCAAAGCAACCUUUUCCUUCUUUUUACCAAGGGAGUGAAUCUGCAGUCCACUGGUCACUUAACUGUGUGUGUGUGUGUGUGUGUGUGUGAGUGUGUGUGUGUGAGUGAGUGUGUGUGUGUGAGUGUGUGUGUGUGUGUGAGUGUGUGUGUGUGUGUGUGUGUGUGUGUGUGUGUGUGUAUCAUCGUCAUCAUCAUUUAACAUCUGUUUUCCAUGUUAGUAUGUGUUCGAUGAUUUGACUGGUGCUGGCUAACUAAAGGACUAUGCCAAGCUAUAUUGUCUUGUCUGCUUUGGUAUUGGUCUUAUGGCUGGAUGCCCUUCCUAACACAAACUACUUUACAGAGUUACUGGGUGCUUUUUAUGUUGCACCAGUACUAGCAGGGUUACCAAAUAACUUACAAAACAAAGACCCUUUGACUAGGAAGGGGUGGUUUUGUGCCAGUUGAUGAGAGGUUAAGGUAUAAUAGAAGAACAGAGACCAGUAUCUUGCAGUAGAGGAGUAAAGGAAAGGAGCGAAAAGGAGAAUGAGAGAGUGGUGGUGGAGAGAUGUUGAAACAUACUCUCAGGAUAGAGGAGGAUAGAGGAAGAAGUUUCAUAACAGUGUGAGGAGAUGGUUAGAGAUGAGGUAGAGGUAGGAUACACACACACACAAACACACACACAUACACACAUACCUUCAUAAAAAAUUUUGAGCUCAGAUCAGUGCCUAAAAAUUGUCAACUUCUUAGAUAUUACAUGAUAUCUAGACAAGGCUAAAUAUUGCUAAUCAAAAAAAGAAAAUCGAAAAGUCCCUCCAAGUAAUCAAACUAGCAAACCAUAGAUAAUCUUGUCUAUAAUAUUUCCUUAUGAGCUUUCUCUUUAUCAUCUAUUCAAUGGGUUUUUAAAGAAACUGUUCUUCUCCUUACUUAAAAAAGUAGGUUCACUGAUGAAGUACAAUACUAUCCAGAACUUCCAUCUUAUAGUAACUAACAUGGAAAUAGGAAAAUAAAUAUUAAUUGGUAUAACUCACCAUCUACCCAGCUUGUAACUACACCCAUAGACAAAAUUUUCCUCAAACUUUUAUCUAAACAAUUUCCCACCAACCCAAAAAUAUCAUAACCUUGUUAAAAAAUAUACUUUGAGACUCUCCUCCAUAACUACUCAUGCUAUCAUUAUGCAUAAUUUUGCUAAAUUAAAUCCUAACUACUGUGUAAGUAUCCUCCUUUUGUUUUGAUUGGAACAGUUCCUACUUCUAAGACAAACUGUUCUAAUCAGAGCAUUUGUCUUAUAAAAGAAAACUGCAUAGCCAAAGAACUGGCUCAGUAUGCUAUUAUUAAUUUCCAGUUCCCUGAUAUAUCAUUUUACCUACUCUCUGUAUGAUAUUUUUGAUAGAAUGCUUGUGUUUACUUGAAUUUGUAUUUUCCUGAAUAUUUUUACAUCAAAUUGUAACAUAGACACAUUUUUUCCAUUAUAUAUAACAGGUAUCCUUUACUGAACAAACACUUCGUUUACAAGUGUACUUAUCAAUGCCUUUGUGCAUAAACAGAUGAAUAUAUUUUUGCAUUAUAGCACCAACACCUGCUUGGCCUAAGUUAUACAUAUGGGAGUAUGUGUUGCGUGUGUGUGUGUGUGUGUGUACAUCAUCAUUACAUGCUUUUUUGUUUUAUCUUUUGAUAUCUAGUUUUCCAUACUUGCAUGGGUCAACAGGAGUCUAUUGAGACAGAUUUAUAUAUAUGUAUGUAUGUAUGUAUGUAUGUAUGUAUGUAUGUAUGUAUGUAUGUAUGUAUGUAUGUAUGUAUAUGUAAUCAGUAUUCAAUUAGUAGAAGAAAAGAAAAUGAUGAGUUGACAGUUAAUAAUUAUUUAUUAAUAAAUUGAUAAUUCUUAGUUCCUACAGCUGUUUCCAUUAGUGCUCAUUAAAUAAAUUAUAAAUUUAUGCAUAAAAUUUGCAUUUAUAAGAUAUGAGCAAAAAUAUCAUCAGGGAAAAAGAUAUAGAUUAAAAGAUUACAUGUUGACCUCUUAGUCUAUGCCAGUGAACUCAGAGCCAACUGGUAUGAACUAAGAGCUCAACAUAUAAUCUUUUAAUGUAUAUCUUUUUCCUUGAUGAUACUUUAACUCAUACUUUAUCAAUACAAAUUUAAAGCCUAAAUUUGUAAUUUAUUUAAUGAGCACUAAUGAGAACAGCUGUAAGAAUUAAAAAUUAUCAAUUUAUUAAUAAAUAAUUAUUAACUUUCAACUCAUUUUCUUUUCUUUUAUUAAUUGAAUACUGAUUAUAUGCUUAAUAUAUACCUAUUGAUUUAAGGAAAUUUUAUUUCCCAAAAAUAUUAGGUAUAGAACCAGUGUUUUCUUGGUUGUAAUCAUCCUUUUAAGAGGUCAAUAUAUCCUCUUCAAAUUUUAUUUAAUUUGCUUUGUGGGAGCAACUGUUUUAUCGAAAACGUAUCUUGUUGUGAAUUGCUCAAGAUACGAAGUAGAAAAACAGCCAACAUCUGAUGAAAAGUCUUUAUUUUAUGUUGCUUGUCUUGUUUUCCAUUUGUUUCUUUCACUGUUCACAAAAAAAGUUUGCAUUCCAUGUUUUUGUAUUUCAUGUUGUUUUUAUAUUUCAUGUUGUUUACGUUCUGUGAUGUUCUGUGCUCAUAUAUGCAUGUGUAUAUACAUGUAUAUGUAUGUACAUAUAUGUAGGUAUGUAUGCAUAUAUAUUUAUAUAUUAUUUAAAUUAUUAUAUGAUUGAACGCCACACAUCCAUUUCCUAGUAAGUUUUAUCUUAAUAAUUUCGAUGCGACACUUAUCCUAUCUUUUUCUAUUUCUCUUUCCUCUCCUCUUUCGUUUCCUCUCUCUCUUCUUUUCUCUAAUUAUUUUUAUCUUCCCUUCUCCCCAUUUCAUUUUUUCUCACUCAUCCUUUCUCUAAUUCUUUUCCUCUCCCCUUUGCCAUUCUCUGUCUGUCCCUCUCUUACUUUUGCUCUCUCAUCGCUUGCAUGUGACCAUUGGCCAUCUUUCUUUUCCUAAUUUGAAUUUCUUUCUUUCUUUCUUUUUUUAUUUCUUUCUUUCUGAUCAGCUGCAGGGAUAAGAUGCAUUCUUGUCUGUCUCCGGGCAGAGCUUGUUCCUCUGCAUUCACCAAGUCAACUCAUUCAGGUUUAGUAACCCUUCCUGUUUGUUUUCACUGUCUUGUUUUUGUUACUAACUUUGACCCUCUGCAAAAUCGCAAAUUUUAUUUAACUUUUCUUUGUGGGAGCAACUGUUUUGUCGAAAAUGUAUCUUGUCGUGAAUUGCUUGAAAUAUGAAAUAGAAAAACAGGUGACAACUGAUGAAGGGUCGUCUUUUUAUGUUGCUUGUCUUGUUUUCCAUUUGUUUCUUUCGUUGUUUGCAAAAAAAAGUUUGAAUUCCAUGUCUUCAUGUUUCGUAUUUCAUGUUGUUUACGUUCUGUGGUAUCUUGUGCCCAUAAACAUAUAUAUAUACAUCUCUAUAUAUGUACAUAUAUGUAUGUAUGUAUGCAUAUAUAUUUAUAUAUUAUUUUUAUUAUUAUAUGAUUGAAUGCCAUGCAUCCAUUUCCAAGUAAGUUUUAUCUGUCUGUCUGUCUAUCUAUCUAUAUAUCUAUCUAUCUAUCUAUCUACCUACCUACCUACCUACCUACCUACCUACCUACCUACCUACCUAUCUAUCUAUCUAUCUAUCUAUCUAUCUAUCUAUCUAUCUAUCUAUAUAUAUAUAUAUAUAUAUAUAUAUAUAUAUAAAGUUAAUCCAAACAAGAAAGCACAAAAAAACACAACAACACGAGGAUGUGGAACAAAUAUAGUAUUAUUGGAUGCUCAGGAAAGAAGGAAAGGAGGAGGGUUUAACGUUUCGAGUGGAGCUCUUUGUCGGAAACAUAGGAGAAGGAAAGAUCCAGAGAAGGGAAGACAGAGGAAAAAAAAUCGCCAACGGUACACAUGAGGUCAGGGCUAAAUUAGCUGUGUGUAUAUAUAUAUAUAUAUAUGUAUAUAUAUAUAUCAUUCAACUACGGUUGUAGUUGAAUAAUAUUCUUGAGGCCACAAUUUACUUACAUGCAGCACCUUUCAGAGCUUGUCACUAAUUCAGUUCUUAACCAAAUUGAAAACUGUAAACAUGUUUGAAGAGGACUGAUCUCUAGCUACAUUUUGGCUUUAAAAAUUGAAAUUUAUCUAAUAGAAAAAACUUUACAUCAAAAUUUGUAGCAACAUUAUUGGAGAGUAAGUAACGCCACCAAUCAAGUUUAGAUUGAAAUAACUUUUUUUAUUUUAAAAGCAAAAUAUAGUUAUCUUAGCUUCAAUCAUAGAAGAAAGCAAGAAGAAUUUCAUAGUUUCAGUCCCAUGCAACAAAAAUUUGUAUCAAAAAAGUUGUGAGGUAAAAUAUGAAAAAUAUAAGUAAGGCAAAAAAUUGGAUUGAAGUAUAAUUAACCUUUUUAUUUUAAAAACGAACUAUAUUUUAAUUAAGCUUAAAUGAUAGAGCUCAGUGAGAGGAAUUUCACAGUAUCAAUCUCAUGCAAUGAAGUUUUAAAAGAAAAAGCUUAUAAGUGUUUGCUUCUCAAAUUUGAGGGUGACGAUAUAGUUCUAUACUUCUUUAUGAAUAUAGUUGUAUAAGGGGGCUUUUAAUAUAUGUCACCAGCGUCAUGAGGUAAGGAAAAAAUUAUCAAUGACACCACUAAGUGACACAUUUGACACAUUAUUAAUUAGCAUAAUAGCCUGGAAAAAACAUGGAUUACAUGGAAAAAUGCAAGCAAGAGAAAUAAGAUUAUAAACAUGGAAAAUGACAGGACAAGUUAUUAGACUUGGCAAAGUUCAGGACAACUUAUUACAUCUAGUAAAAUACAGAACAAGAAAAUUAUUACUUAAAAUAUUGCCGCUAAGAAUAAAAUAUGAAUAUUAAAAAUUAUUUGAUUUUAAUUCACAAAGUAACAUUAUAAUUUUAAAAAUGUACCGUCAUUUUUGUUAAAAUAUUAACACGCUAGGAUACUUUAAAAAUGAGAGCCAGAAGUACCAAUAUAGCUAAAGUUUUAUACAAAGUAGAAUAAUAUAUAUAGUAGGCAAAUUCAUUAUGUAAAAAAUAGGCAUUGGGUCAAGACUAAAAAUAUGAAGACUUAGCAAUAACUUAGGCAAUAACUCAAGCAAAUUUUACAGUGAAUUUGUUCUUAUAGGUAGAUUUUACUGUAAUAUAUAGCUAAUUUUUGUAUUAUUCUAUUUAUUGUACAAACUAAUUAUGUACUACUAUUAUUCUUUAUAACCUAUUUUCAAAUUUCUAAUUAUCAAUUAAUAAUUUUUAAAAUGAAUUUUUUAAAGUGCAAAAAAUAUUUUAAUUGAGUUAUUUUUAAUUUUUAGUAGAAGUAACAAUUAAUAACAAAUAUAAGUAAUGACAUGUAAUAAAAUUUUUAGUUUUAAUAAAAGCUAAUAUUUUAUUUGAAAUGUUAUCCUUAGCUGCAAUAUUUUAAAAAAAAAUUUUUUUGUUCUCUACUUUACCAGAUGUAAUAAGUUGUCCUGAACUUUUCCACCUCUACUUUUCCAGGUUUAUAAUCUUAAGAAUAUAAUUUCUCUUGCUCACAUUUUUCCAUGUAAUAUAUGUAUGUAUCUACCCAUCUCAUGGGAAGACCAGCCCAUCACACCUAGAGAAGAUUCAUUCACCAAGGCUCAAGAAUCCGUUCUCAUUUCAGCAAAACUGAGAUUCAAGAAAUACUAUACAUGUGUAUGUAGUGUAAUCUAUGUAGUAGAUAUAUAAACAAGGUAAACUUAGUUAUUUCUCCAUUGACUGUAAAAAGUGAUGAACAGCUUUAAUCAAUUUUUGAAUUUUAUUGGGUUCUUACCACAAGUGUCUACUUCUUUUUUACCAAUCCCAGAGAAAUUAGCAGCCACACUGUUUAUAUACUCAACAAAUCUGGUAGCUACAGAGAGCUGGAGCUACUAAUUUGCAUAUCAUAAGUGUCUAACACUUCAUGUUAUACCAGUAGUCUAUCAACAGGAAUUUCAGUCCUCAUAGUGUCAGGUUAUAGUAUAAUAUAUGUAGCCUAUAUAUAUACAUGUAUACACACACACACACACAUGUACAUAGUCUCAGGAAGAUGUGGGACAAAGUGGGGAGAAAGGACCUUCAGACUUUUAGCCUCACAGAGGAGAUGACAGAGGACUAAUACUUCUAGCAGUUUGCUGUGCUUGAGAAGAUACAUCAAGCUAAGUAAGAUCAUGGCUGUCCAUACAUACAGGCAUGUCCUCUGUGUCCCUUCCUCAGCUGAAAGAUGUUAGCCUUGCAGGCUCAUGAGUACUGGUGCCACAUAAAAGCACCCAUGCUGGUGUCAUGUAAAAGUACCUGUGCAGGUGUCAUAAAAGCACUCAUGCCAGUACCACAUAAAAGUGCCCAUACCAAUUCCUGUAAAGUGGCUGGUGUUAGAAAGGGCAUCUAGCCAUAGAAACUAUGCCAAAACAGACAAAAUGGAGCCUGUCUAAUUCCUGUCAAACCAUCCAACUCAUGCCAGCAUAGAGAACAGAUAUUAAAUGAUGAUGAUGAUGAUGAUGAUGAUGGUGACGGCGACGAUGAUAAUAUUCAUUUAGGUGCCCUAGCCUAAUUUCCCUUUCAAGCCUUCCCCACCACCCAUCAUCUCUCUAUCACUGAUGUUUUCAUUACCUUUAUAACUGCAGUAUUCUGUUACUGUAAUUAAAUGAGAAGAGAACUGCAUAUCGCAUCAACUUUUUGGGUGAUACCAGUUAUCUUUCUCACUUCCUGGAACUACUUCACUCAUAGUCCAUCUUUCAUUCAUAAAACUGUCCCUCUCCACCUACAUUUUACAUUGAUUACCCAUCUGUGCAACCAAAUUAUCUCUCCUUUUCAACCACUAUACAUUUCUCACUCUCCACACACUAUGCCUGCCUCUUCUAUAACUAUGUGCAGCCUACCUUCCCUACCUUAUAUGUAUCAUUAAUCACUCCUCCAUCUUUGUCCACCAUCCACUACAUACACACCUCAACUCAACUCAGUCUUUACUAUCAUCAUCUACUUUUCCUUACCUUCCCUCCAACUCACACUCCUUUUUCAUCAUUCAUUAUAUUUGUUCCAUCACCCAUUACCCAUCUCUCUCCCAAUACAUUCUCAGGGCUUCUACCUACCCACACUCCUUGUUCUUCUGUCCCUGCUCACUCCUGUUUACAUGGUAUAUUGAGGGUCUGGUAUGUUCUGUCACUUUCUUUCAUAAUUUAACCUCUCGUUUCCAAGCAUAAAGCUGCCUUUUCCUCUGUUUCAGUCACUCAAGAUGGAUUUUAAUCCUGUGUGCUGCAUGGCAACCUCAUUAGUGCUGGUGCCAUGAAAAAAAAAACACCCAGUAAAUUUUAUAAAGUGAUUGAUAUUAGGAAGAGGAUCCAGCUGAAGAAAUGAUGUUGAAGCAUAGACCAGAGCAUGAUACAAUCCUUGGACCUGUCAACCUUUCUAACAUAUGCCACCAUGGAAAGUGGAUGUUAAAAGAUGAUGAUAAUAAUGAUAAUGAUAGUGGUGAUGGUGAUGAUGAUGAUGAUGAUGAUGAUGAUAUAUAUAUAUAUAUAUAUGGUAACCCAGGUUCGAAUCCUGGUCACGGCAGCCUCCCUAUUAUUUAAUGGCGGUGCCCCAGCAUGGCCACAGCUCAUGAGCUGAAACUGGAAAAAUCAAAAUCAAAAAAUAUAGAGAGAUAGAUAGAUAGAUAGAUAGAUAGAUAGAUAGAUAUAGAUACACACACAUGCACACAUUCAUACAUGCAUAUACAUGCUCUAGAGGCUAGUAUGUUCCACUAGAUGUGUAAUGUAGAUAUAUAUAUAUGCAACAGAGUGCUAGUGUAUUGAGCAGAAAUAUUAAGGCCAUGAAGAGGAUUGGCCCACAAAAGUCCCAGUCCCAUGUAAAAAGCACCGGUGCCAGUGCUAUGUAAAAGUACUCAUGCUGGUGCCACAUUGAAAGUACCCACCACACACUGUAAAGUGGUUGGUGUUAGGAAGGGCAUCUGGCUAUAGUAACCAAGCCAAAUCAGACUGAAACCUGGUGUAGCUCUUCUGCUUGCCAGCUCUUGUCAAACCAUCCAACCCAUAUAAGCAUGGAAAGCAGAUGGUAAAUGAUGAUGAUGAUGAUGAUGAUGGUGAUGGUGAUGUUACGCCUUUUGAUGUCAAAUACCAGACUUCCUCUCGUAUUUGGAUGAAAAAAAAGCACAACCUGUUUUAAAGUAUUCAUAUAUAAUUAAACCUGUCCUCCAUAAUUUUAUGUUAAAACUUUUUGCAAUGUUCCCAACUUAAUUAUUUUAUUCAGUCCAUAUAGAUAGUUGAUCAUUUUAAAAAUAAAUUAAUAUCAAUGAAAUGAUGGUAACCAGAAAGUUUUAACUUAAAAUGGUUUUUAACUUAAUAUGAUUUUUCUACACAUCGACUUAAAAUUUCUAACCAAGACCAGCUUACUGUUUAUUUUUCAUGACUUAUAUUAACCAGUAUGUCUUUUCUUUUCCAAGAUGGUAGGAAUUUAGCCAGUAUCUUUAGCUGCUUGAAUGACCUCAUUGAAGCUCUCCUACUAGCUUAUCAAAAUAAAUAGUACAUACACAUAGUGAUUAAAUUAUAACUGCAACUCUUGAUUUCCAGAGUGCUCUUACAUAAUUUUUAAUUGGUGGUUUAUGUACAAUGCAUACAUUAUUUCUCUCUCUCACACACACAUGCAUAUACUAGGUCUGUCUAUAGUUUUGCAAAAAUCCAUUUAUUCAUUGUUCCUAUCAUGAAAUAUUUUUGGUAGAGCUCAAUUUGGACAUGAAAAAGUACUUUGUCUGAUUAUUACUAUUUUUUUUACACAUUUAAUUUCUCAAAUAAAGAUUCUUUGAUGAACUAUUUG
RNAcentral lists this long non-coding RNA (30415 nucleotides) under Octopus vulgaris (common octopus). Lineage: Eukaryota; Metazoa; Mollusca; Cephalopoda; Octopoda; Octopodidae. The record is from RNAcentral.